CCAGGUGCUAACGACCUUGGUAUUCCAAAGGCUCAACUUGAGGCCCAUUAGAUAUCUUUACAGCAACAAAUUGAGAACUCAGAGGCAAGGAAGUACAUAUUAAAUGAACUCAAUGGCACUGCGAGUAAACACCAAGCAUGUCGUGAAAUGUGACAUACAACUCAUAUGGAGUCGAAU
Solanum tuberosum (potato) is the source of this 177-nucleotide long non-coding RNA. RefSeq lists it as uncharacterized. The transcript has 3 exons. NCBI's taxonomy places the organism in Eukaryota, Viridiplantae, Streptophyta, Magnoliopsida, Solanales, Solanaceae. The record is from RefSeq and is a predicted model, not a curated record.